CUGAGUUUUGGGUGUUCUCUUUUGACGCCCGAUCUCCCACCCUUUGUUUAACUACAAUUGUUGCUUUGGCAGGACUGUUUUCUUCUCUUCGGGGGAGGGACUGCCGGAGGUUGGGUUUCCGACCUCUGGAUUGUUUGCCUGCCAGUAGCCAACUUCAAAUUCUUUUUUAAUUAUGUCGUCUGAAUUCUUUAAAUAAAUUUUAUUUA
RNAcentral lists this unclassified non-coding RNA (206 nucleotides) under uncultured fungus. RNAcentral describes it as "sequence contains ITS1, 5.8S rRNA gene". RNAcentral also lists the same sequence under 1 other name. The record is from RNAcentral. Lineage: Eukaryota; Fungi.